RNAcentral lists this ribosomal RNA (1341 nucleotides) under uncultured bacterium. RNAcentral describes it as "16S ribosomal RNA". It matches the Rfam family "Bacterial small subunit ribosomal RNA", at positions 28 to 1381 of the family's 1533-position model. The record is from RNAcentral.
GACGAACGCUGGCGGCGUGCUUAACACACGCAAGUCGAACGGUAAGGCUCCAGCUUGCUGGGGUACACGAGUGGCGAACGGGUGAGUAACACGUGGGUGACCUGCCCUGCACUUCGGGAUAAGCCUGGGAAACUGGGUCUAAUACCGGAUAGGACCGCACCGUGAGGGUGUGGUGGAAAGUUUUUUCGGUGUGGGAUGGGCCCGCGGCCUAUCAGCUUGUUGGUGGGGUAAUGGCCUACCAAGGCGGCGACGGGUAGCCGGCCUGAGAGGGUGGACGGCCACAUUGGGACUGAGACACGGCCCAGACUCCUACGGGAGGCAGCAGUGGGGAAUAUUGCACAAUGGGCGGAAGCCUGAUGCAGCGACGCCGCGUGGGGGAUGACGGCCUUCGGGUUGUAAACUCCUUCCACCAUCGACGAAGGGUUUCUGACGGUAGAUGGAGAAGAAGCACCGGCUAACUACGUGCCAGCAGCCGCGGUAAUACGUAGGGUGCGAGCGUUGUCCGGAAUUACUGGGCGUAAAGAGCUCGUAGGUGGUUUGUCGCGUCGUCUGUGAAAUUCCGGGGCUUAACUCCGGGCGUGCAGGCGAUACGGGCAUAACUUGAGUACUGUAGGGGAGACUGGAAUUCCUGGUGUAGCGGUGAAAUGCGCAGAUAUCAGGAGGAACACCGGUGGCGAAGGCGGGUCUCUGGGCAGUAACUGACGCUGAGGAGCGAAAGCAUGGGGAGCGAACAGGAUUAGAUACCCUGGUAGUCCAUGCCGUAAACGGUGGGCGCUAGGUGUGGGUUUCCUUCCACGGGAUCCGUGCCGUAGCUAACGCAUUAAGCGCCCCGCCUGGGGAGUACGGCCGCAAGGCUAAAACUCAAAGGAAUUGACGGGGGCCCGCACAAGCGGCGGAGCAUGUGGAUUAAUUCGAUGCAACGCGAAGAACCUUACCUGGGCUUGACAUAUACAGGAUCGCGCCAGAGAUGGUGUUUCCCUUGUGGCUUGUAUACAGGUGGUGCAUGGUUGUCGUCAGCUCGUGUCGUGAGAUGUUGGGUUAAGUCCCGCAACGAGCGCAACCCUUGUCUUAUGUUGCCAGCACGUUGUGGUGGGGACUCGUAAGAAACUGCCGGGGUUAACUCGGAGGAAGGUGGGGAUGACGUCAAAUCAUCAUGCCCCUUAUGUCCAGGGCUUCACACAUGCUACAAUGGUCGGUACAGUGGGUUGCCAGUCCGUGAGGGCGAGCUAAUCCCGCAAAGCCGGUCUCAGUUCGGAUCGGGGUCUGCAACUCGACCCCGUGAAGUCGGAGUCGCUAGUAAUCGCAGAUCAGCAACGCUGCGGUGAAUACGUUCCCGGGCCU